RNAcentral lists this long non-coding RNA (1428 nucleotides) under Chrysemys picta bellii (western painted turtle). Its description in RNAcentral is "lncRNA (ENSCPBG00000027503.1)". Lineage: Eukaryota; Metazoa; Chordata; Testudines; Emydidae. The record is from RNAcentral.
AUAUUGAUGAAGAUCAGUUUGUGGCUUGGAUGCAGACCCUUCCACAACAUAUGUUAACAUCAGUGAUGCAUUUUCCAAUAAUACCAUCAAACAUCACUCUUCUUAAGGAAUUACAGCCAUCUUUUCCUACUGCAGCUGUGGAUUUCAAGGACCAAUCAGGGUUGGAUGACAAGCAGCUCCUGAGGGUUGCAGUGGAGAUGUCCCUUAAACGCAGAGACUGGAAGCUCUUAGCAAACAACUUGGGCCUUGUGGAGAAGGACUGCUCCUGUCUGGAGCGGAAGCGUUUGGAUGUGAAGACCCAGAUCCUGGCAAUGUUGCAGAUUUGGCUAAGGACCUGUCAGGAAGCCCCCCUUCCUCUCCUGCAAACUGCGCUGAGACUCAGCGGCAACACAGACAUUUGCAAUGAAGUGUUCUCCUUAAACUUCUGAGGCUCUCGUGUGGGCAGCGUGCAAAUUAGAGACAAAUGCACACGUUGCACUUCAAAGAGCCAUCCUCCUUGGGAGAGCAAACAUUGGUGUUCAUUAAUUGUAAUGGGAAAGUGCAUCUAAGGGUAUGUCUUCACUACCGGCCGUAUUGGCGGGUAGCAAUCGAUUUAUCCGGGAUCGAUAUAUCGCGUCUCGUUAAGAUGCGAUAUAUCGAUCCCCGAAUGCGCUCACCGUCGACUCCGGAACUCCACCAGAGCGAGCGGCGGUAGCGCAGUCGACGGGGGAGCCGCGGCCGUUGAUCCCGCGCCGUCUGGACCCCAGGUAAUUCGAUCCAAGAUACUUCGACUUUAGCUAUACUAUUCGUGUAGCUGAAGUUGCGUAUCUUGGAUCGAUCCCCCGCCCCAGUGUAGACCAGCCCUAAAUCUCUUAGCAACAGCUCUGAAAACUGAGCUGUAAUUUUGCUAUCUAGUGGACCGAGGCAGUGCCAGGCAUACUCGCCCAUUCAGAUACUGAGAGCCAGGUCAUAGCAUCUGUCCGUCAUAUCAGUAGCUGGAAAUCCUAAAUUGUUUUGAUUUUCUUUGCAGUAGUUUUACUUUUCAACCUGUUGGAUUGGGGGAAAGAAGCAUGUUCCCUCAAAGAUCUUAUAUCUUGGAUCCUUCGCUAUCUUUAUGGCUUGUUUUGUGAAAGGCCCAUUGCUGUGGGUAUCUGGGCAGUUAGCAUUUCUUUGGCAUUCGUGUCAGAAAGAAUCGAGCGCCGUCUGUUACCCCUCUGCUGCGAAGGACUAGAUUACAGAUCCCCUCAGUGGGUGAAGUGGCACCUUCCACUCCUGUUACAAACUUCUGUUACUUCUGUUGUAUUUGCCCAGCUCUGCUCCUAAUUAACUAAUCGAUCCUUUUCCUGCCCUUCCACGUUAGCUCCACUGGAGGAGAGAGGGUGAAAUUCGCCCUGUGCAGUGGACCAGCACAAAGCUAACAUAGGAUUUAAGUGGUGCAUAAGCUUGAGG